This is a long non-coding RNA of Neltuma alba, 491 nucleotides long. RefSeq lists it as uncharacterized. NCBI's taxonomy places the organism in Eukaryota, Viridiplantae, Streptophyta, Magnoliopsida, Fabales, Fabaceae. The record is from RefSeq and is a predicted model, not a curated record. The transcript has 2 exons.
CACCAUAGAGAUGAGAUUGACAGAGACAAGCCUAAUAUGAACCAACAAGAGCUGGAUUUCAACUACAUGAGCAAAAGAAGAGUCCCAAAUGGAUCAGAUCCUAUCCAUAACAGAAGAGCUGGAAAUUCAGGUCGACCUCCUGGCGAAGCCUAGUAGUGUUCUCGGAAUAUGACAAAGCUUCAUCAGCAACCUCGCAGAACUGAAGAUGACAAGCUUUUUCUCAGGAAAAUGAUAUUUUCACCCCCAAGGAACGAACAGAUCAAGAAGAAAAGUGAGGAGGAGGAGGACGAGGAGGAGAAGAAGAUGGCUUGUCUCAGAGAUAAUAAGCUCAAAAGAAUUGAAGGAGAGAGAUUAUUAAGUUUCUGGAGAAACUUCUCGAUUUAGCGACUAAGUAUGAGUGUGUAUGUAUAUAUAUGUAUUUUUUUUUGAAAGGAUCGAUCGCUCUUGUUCUUAAAAGCUUUCAUAAGUACAGGUUACUUAUCGACUGACAA